RNAcentral lists this ribosomal RNA (468 nucleotides) under uncultured bacterium. RNAcentral's name for it is "partial 16S ribosomal RNA". It matches the Rfam family "Bacterial small subunit ribosomal RNA", at positions 28 to 507 of the family's 1533-position model. The record is from RNAcentral.
GACGAACGCUGGCGGCGUGCUUAACACAUGCAAGUCGAACGGAAAGGCCCUGCUUUUGUGGCGUGCUCGAGUGGCGAACGGGUGAGUAACACGUGAGUAACCUGCCCUUGACUUUGGGAUAACUUCAGGAAACUGGGGCUCAUACCGGAUAGGAGCUCCUGCUGCAUGUUGGGGGUUGGAAAGUUUCGGCGGUUGGGGCUGGACUCGCGGCUUAUCCGCUUGUUGGUGGGGUAGUGGCUUACCAAGGCUUUGACGGAUAGCCGGCCUGAGAGGGUGACCGGGCACAAGGGGACUGAGGUAGGGAGCAGACGGCUAUGGGAGGCAGCAGUGGGGAAUAUGGCAGAAUGGGGGGAAGCCAGAGGCAGCAGCGCUGCGUGCGGGAUGACGGCUUACGGGUUGUAAACAGCUGUCGACUGAGACGAAGAGGGAGUGACGGUAAUGGGUAAAGAAGCACCGGCUAACUACGUG